GACGAACGCUGGCGGCGUGCUUAACACAUGCAAGUCGAGCGGUAAGGCCCUUUCGGGGGUACACGAGCGGCGAACGGGUGAGUAACACGUGGGUGACCUGCCCUCAGCUCUGGGAUAAGCCCGGGAAACUAGGGUCUAAUACCGGAUAUGACUCCAUGACGCAUGUUGUGGGGUGGAAAGCCUUGUGCGGCUGAGGAUGGGCCCGCGGCCUAUCAGCUUGUUGGUGGGGUGAUGGCCUACCAAGGCGACGACGGGUAGCCGGCCUGAGAGGGCGACCGGCCACACUGGGACUGAGAUACGGCCCAGACUCCUACGGGAGGCAGCAGUGGGGAAUCUUGCGCAAUGGGCGAAAGCCUGACGCAGCGACGCCGCGUGAGGGAUGACGGCCU
This 389-nucleotide ribosomal RNA is filed under the name uncultured bacterium. Its description in RNAcentral is "bacterial SSU rRNA". It matches the Rfam family "Bacterial small subunit ribosomal RNA", at positions 28 to 417 of the family's 1533-position model. The record is from RNAcentral.